This 1000-nucleotide ribosomal RNA is filed under the name uncultured fungus. RNAcentral describes it as "eukaryotic LSU rRNA". The stretch from base 542 to 1000 matches the Rfam family "Eukaryotic large subunit ribosomal RNA", at positions 1 to 455 of the family's 3401-position model. Lineage: Eukaryota; Fungi. The record is from RNAcentral.
GUUCUACUGCACUUUUUAACAAGUACUCACCUUGUGUGCAAUGUUUGCUGUCGAGUCGUUUAUUCGUCUCGACAGCACAAUACCAACCUUUUAUUGUAAAUUUUUUGUCUGAAGCUAUUUCGAAUAUAUAAUUCUAAAUACAACUUUCAACAACGGAUCUCUUGGCUCUCGCAUCGAUGAAGAACGCAGCGAAAUGCGAUACGUAAUGUGAAUUGCAGAAUUCAGUGAAUCAUCGAAUCUUUGAACGCACAUUGCACUCUCUGGUAUUCCGGAGAGUAUGCUUGUUUGAGUAUCUGUAAACAUCUCAAAUCUCUCUUCGCUUGCGUCGAGAGAAUUGGAUUUGAGCGAUCCCGACUCCUUCGUCAGAAAGAGGAGGGUCGCUUGAAAUGCAGGUACCAGCUGGACAUUCUUCUGAGCUAAAAGCAUAUCUAUUUAGUCCCGUCAAACGGAUUAUUACUUUUGCUUCAGCUAAUAUAAAGGUCGAAUGAACUACCAACGCUGAUUGCAGGAAAACUUGUUCGUUUAUUCGGACUUGUAAACUCGAUCUCAAAUCAAGUAAGACUACCCGCUGAACUUAAGCAUAUCAAUAAGCGGAGGAAAAGAAACUAACAAGGAUUCCCUUAGUAACGGCGAGUGAAGCGGGAUGAGCUCAAAUUUAAAAUCUGGCUGGUUUACCAGUCCGAGUUGUAGUUUAAAGAAGCGUUUUCGGUGGCAGUCUCGGUAUAAAUCCUUUGGAAUAGGGUAUCAUAGAGGGUGAGAAUCCCGUCUUUGACUGAGAAUAUGCUACUAUGUGAUACGUUUUCAAAGAGUCGAGCUGUUUGGGAAUGCAGCUCAAAAUGGGUGGUAAAUUUCAUCUAAAGCUAAAUAUUGGCGAGAGACCGAUAGCGAACAAGUACCGUGAGGGAAAGAUGAAAAGAACUUUGAAAAGAGAGUUAAACAGUGCGUGAAAUUGUUGAAAGGGAAACGCUUGAAACCAGUCAUGCGGUUGGGAAAUCAGUCU